GUUUAUAUCAUCCUGAACGUGUCUGAUCUCAUCUGACCUUGGAUGCUAAGCAAUGUCAGGCCUGGUUAUUAUUUGGAUGGGAAACUGCCUAGGAAUGCUGGGUGCUGUAGACU
Molecule: ribosomal RNA, 113 nt
Filed under: Microtus ochrogaster (prairie vole)
Lineage: Eukaryota; Metazoa; Chordata; Mammalia; Rodentia; Cricetidae
Source: RNAcentral